RNAcentral lists this ribosomal RNA (441 nucleotides) under uncultured bacterium. RNAcentral describes it as "partial 16S ribosomal RNA". It matches the Rfam family "Bacterial small subunit ribosomal RNA", at positions 338 to 795 of the family's 1533-position model. The record is from RNAcentral.
CCUACGGGUGGCAGCAGUGGGGAAUAUUGCACAAUGGGGGAAACCCUGAUGCAGCGACGCCGCGUGAGUGAAGAAGUAUUUCGGUAUGUAAAGCUCUAUCAGCAGGGAAGAAAAAAGACGGUACCUGACUAAGAAGCCCCGGCUAACUACGUGCCAGCAGCCGCGGUAAUACGUAGGGGGCAAGCGUUAUCCGGAUUUACUGGGUGUAAAGGGAGCGUAGACGGUAUGGCAAGUCUGAAGUGAAAGCCCAGGGCUUAACCCUGGGACUGCUUUGGAAACUGUGCGGCUGGAGUGCAGGAGGGGUAAGCGGAAUUCCUAGUGUAGCGGUGAAAUGCGUAGAUAUUAGGAGGAACACCGGUGGCGAAGGCGGCUUACUGGACUGUAACUGACGUUGAGGCUCGAAAGCGUGGGGAGCAAACAGGAUUAGAUACCCCUGUAGUC